AGACGUAGGGGGCAAGCGUUGUCCGGAAUUACUGGGUGUAAAGGGUGCGUAGGCGGAUUUGCAAGUCAGGUGUGAAAACUAUCGGCUUAACCGGUAGCCUGCACUUGAAACUGUAAGUCUUGAGUGGUGAAGAGGUAAGCGGAAUUCCUAGUGUAGCGGUGAAAUGCGUAGAUAUUCGGAGGAACACCAGUGGCGAAGGCGGCUUACUGGUCCAUUACUGACGCUGAGGUGCGAAAGCGUGGGGAGC
RNAcentral lists this ribosomal RNA (247 nucleotides) under uncultured bacterium. RNAcentral describes it as "partial 16S ribosomal RNA". It matches the Rfam family "Bacterial small subunit ribosomal RNA", at positions 523 to 769 of the family's 1533-position model. The record is from RNAcentral.